UGGCAUGCUUCCAGCAUGCCUGGGUCUGGGAUUGACCCUGUGCAUUCCUCCCAGUGCUUGCAAGGACAGUGUUGAAAUAGUU
RNAcentral lists this small nucleolar RNA (82 nucleotides) under Echinops telfairi (small Madagascar hedgehog). Its description in RNAcentral is "Small nucleolar RNA SNORA9 (ENSETEG00000025667.1)". The record is from RNAcentral. Lineage: Eukaryota; Metazoa; Chordata; Mammalia; Afrosoricida; Tenrecidae.